RNAcentral lists this ribosomal RNA (493 nucleotides) under uncultured bacterium. RNAcentral's name for it is "partial 16S ribosomal RNA". It matches the Rfam family "Bacterial small subunit ribosomal RNA", at positions 29 to 523 of the family's 1533-position model. The record is from RNAcentral.
AUUGAACGCUGGCGGCAUGCUUUACACAUGCAAGUCGAACGGUAACAGGUUAAGCUGACGAGUGGCGAACGGGUGAGUAAUGCAUCGGAACGUGCCCGAUCGUGGGGGAUAACGCAGCGAAAGCUGCGCUAAUACCGCAUACGAUCUGAGGAUGAAAGCGGGGGACCGUAAGGCCUCGCGCGAUCGGAGCGGCCGAUGUCAGAUUAGGGAGUUGGUGGGGUAAAGGCUCACCAAGCCGACGAUCUGUAGCUGGUCUGAGAGGACGACCAGCCACACUGGGACUGAGACACGGCCCAGACUCCUACGGGAGGCAGCAGUGGGGAAUUUUGGACGAUGGGCGAAAGCCUGAUCCAGCAAUGCCGCGUGCAGGAAGAAGGCCCUCGGGUUGUAAACUGCUUUUGUACGGAGCGAAAAGGCUCUCUCUAAUACAGGGGGCUCAUGACGGUACCGUAAGAAUAAGCACCGGCUAACUACGUGCCAGCCGCCGCCGUAA